This 70-nucleotide transfer RNA is filed under the name Vietnamella dabieshanensis. RNAcentral describes it as "tRNA-Lys". Lineage: Eukaryota; Metazoa; Arthropoda; Insecta; Ephemeroptera; Ephemerellidae. The record is from RNAcentral.
CACUAGAUGUCUGAAAGUAAGUCAUGGUCUCUUAAACCAAUUAUAGUAAAGUAACGUCUACUUCUUGUGA